UUUUAAACNGUUAUAUAAUAGUAUUAAAGUAGCGUAAUAAUUUGUCAUUUAAUUGAUGAAUAUAAUGAAGGUUACAUGAAUUAAAUUCUGUCUUUAAGAAAUAAAAUAAAAUUAAUAAUAUAGUGAAAAAUCUAAAUUUUUUUUAAAAGACGAUAAGACCCUAUAGAACUUAUUUAAAAUUUUAAAUUUACUGGGGAAGUAAAAAUAUAUAAAAAACUAUUUUUAAAAAUAAAAAU
RNAcentral lists this ribosomal RNA (236 nucleotides) under Kladothrips arotrum. RNAcentral describes it as "partial 16S ribosomal RNA". Lineage: Eukaryota; Metazoa; Arthropoda; Insecta; Thysanoptera; Phlaeothripidae. The record is from RNAcentral.